GAAGCAAACACCCCAAAUAAUGUAAAAAGAGCUUCUACAGUGAAAAAAAAAAAAAAAAACAGAAGAGGAAACGUCCUCCUUUAAAACACAAAAGCAGCGCCUGGCUCUAGAAUGUGCCACAUCAGGAUGUGUCUGGGUGGAGACCUCAGCAGGCUGGCACCAGGGCUGGACAGAAAAAAUACAGCUGGACCCUACUCCAGCGUGUCACAGAAAGGCCAGUGGCGACGCCUGCCCCACGUUGCCCUUCUAGAUUCUUGCUAUGUUGACCAGGUCUUGAACUUCUGGCUUCAAGUGAUCCUCCUGCCUCGGCCUCCCAAAGCACUGGGAUUACAGAUGUGAGCCACUGUGCCUCGCCCGGAUGUUGAAUAUAUAAUCAGAAAACUACAAUGAGUUUUUUCCAGUUUUUAAAUUUGUGGUAAAUAUGCAUAACAUAAAAUUUUACUACCUUAACUGUGUUUAAUAUAUACAGUUUAGUGCCAUUAAAUAUAUUCAUAGUAUUGUGCAACCAUCA
This 511-nucleotide long non-coding RNA is filed under the name Homo sapiens (human). Its description in RNAcentral is "HSALNT0331141". Lineage: Eukaryota; Metazoa; Chordata; Mammalia; Primates; Hominidae. The record is from RNAcentral.